RNAcentral lists this ribosomal RNA (1011 nucleotides) under Penicillium chrysogenum. RNAcentral's name for it is "eukaryotic LSU rRNA". The stretch from base 167 to 319 matches the Rfam family "5.8S ribosomal RNA". Lineage: Eukaryota; Fungi; Ascomycota; Eurotiomycetes; Eurotiales; Aspergillaceae. The record is from RNAcentral.
GGGCCUCUGGGUCCACCUCCCACCCGUGUUUAUUUUACCUUGUUGCUUCGGCGGGCCCGCCUUAACUGGCCGCCGGGGGGCUUACGCCCCCGGGCCCGCGCCCGCCGAAGACACCCCCGAACUCUGUCUGAAGAUUGUGGUCUGAGUGAAAUUAUAAAUUAUUUAAAACUUUCAACAACGGAUCUCUUGGUUCCGGCAUCGAUGAAGAACGCAGCGAAAUGCGAUACGUAAUGUGAAUUGCAAAUUCAGUGAAUCAUCGAGUCUUUGAACGCACAUUGCGCCCCCUGGUAUUCCGGGGGGCAUGCCUGUCCGAGCGUCAUUGCUGCCCUCAAGCACGGCUUGUGUGUUGGGCCCCGUCCUCCGACCCCGGGGGACGGGCCCGAAAGGCAGCGGCGGCACCGCGUCCGGUCCUCGAGCGUAUGGGGCUUUGUCACCCGCUCUGUAGGCCCGGCCGGCGCUUGCCGAUCAACCCAAAUUUUUAUCCUGGUUGACCUCGGAUCAGGUAGGGAUACCCGCUGAACUUAAGCAUAUCAAUAAGUCGAGGAAUACCGAGUGAGGGCCCUCUGGGUCCAACCUCCACCCGUGUUUAUUUUACCUUGUUGCUUCGGCGGGCGCUUAACUGGCCGCGGGGGGCUUACGCCCCGGGCUCCCACGAAAACCCCAAUCUUUUGAAGAAUGUGAAUUUGAAGUGAAAAUAUUAAAUUAUUUAAACUUUCACAACGCAUCUCUUGGUUCGGCAUCCAUGAAGACGCCGAAAUGCAUACUUAAUGUGAAUUGCAAUUUGUGAAUAUUAGUCUUGAAUCAAUUGGACUGGGUAUUCCGGGGCAUGCUGUCGAGCGUUUUGGGUCUCACUUCUCGGUGUUGGGGCGCUCUCAUCCGGGAUGGACCAAAGCAGCGGACACCGUCGUCUCAGCAGGGGAUGAGCCGCCGUUGAGGCCCCGGCGUCGCUAUCCGGCCGGCGCUUGCCGAUCAACCCAAAUUUUUAUCCAGGUGACCUCGGAUCAGGAGCUC